RNAcentral lists this ribosomal RNA (716 nucleotides) under Cottunculus thomsonii (pallid sculpin). Its description in RNAcentral is "partial 12S ribosomal RNA". It matches the Rfam family "Bacterial small subunit ribosomal RNA", at positions 327 to 1345 of the family's 1533-position model. Lineage: Eukaryota; Metazoa; Chordata; Actinopteri; Perciformes; Psychrolutidae. The record is from RNAcentral.
UGCCCUACAGUUCCCUGUCCGGGAACAAGGAGCUGGUAUCAGGCACACCCUAUUGAGCCCAUGACAUCUUGCUUAGCCACACCCUCAAGGGAACUCAGCAGUGAUAAACAUUAAGCCAUGAGUGAAAACUUGACUUAGUUAAAGCUAAGAGGGCCGGUAAAACUCGUGCCAGCCACCGCGGUUAUACGAGAGGCCCAAGUUGACAAACACCGGCGUAAGGCGUGGUUAAGUUAAAACUCUUACUAAAGCCGAACAUCUUCAAGGCUGUUAUACGCAACCGAAGACAGGAAGUUCAACCACGAAAGUGGCUUUAUCUAAUCUGAACCCACGAAAGCUAAGAAACAAACUGGGAUUAGAUACCCCACUAUGCCUAGCCCUAAACAUUGAUAGUACUAUACACCCACUAUCCGCCCGGGAACUACGAGCAAUAGCUUAAAACCCAAAGGACUUGGCGGUGCUUUAGAUCCACCUAGAGGAGCCUGUUCUAGAACCGAUAACCCCCGUUCAACCUCACCCUUCCUUGUUUAUCCCGCCUAUAUACCGCCGUCGUCAGCUUACCCUGUGAGGGACUAAUAGUAAGCAAAACUGGUACAACCUAAAACGUCAGGUCGAGGUGUAGCGUAUGGAGGGGGAAGAAAUGGGCUACAUUCGCUACUACAGCGAACACGAAUAGUGUACUGAAACAUACACUUGAAGGAGGAUUUAGCAGUAAGCAG